GACGAACGCUGGCGGCGUGCUUAACACAUGCAAGUCGAGCGGUAAGGCCCUUUCGGGGGUACACGAGCGGCGAACGGGUGAGUAACACGUGGGUGACCUGCCCUUAGCUCUGGGAUAAGCCUGGGAAACUGGGUCUAAUACCGGAUAUGACUCCAUGACGCAUGUUGUGGGGUGGAAAGCCUUGUGCGGCUAGGGAUGGGCCCGCGGCCUAUCAGCUUGUUGGUGGGGUGAUGGCCACCAAGGCGACGACGGGUAGCCGGCCUGAGAGGGCGACCGGCCACACUGGGACUGAGACACGGUCCGGACUCCUACGGGAGGCAGCAGUGGGGAAUCUUGCGCAAUGGGCGAAAGCCUGACGCAGCAACGCCGCGUGGAGGAUGAAGGCCCUUGGGUUGUAAACUCCUGUCGGCUGGGAAGAAGUUGUUCGCGACUAAUACUCGCGG
RNAcentral lists this ribosomal RNA (443 nucleotides) under uncultured bacterium. RNAcentral's name for it is "bacterial SSU rRNA". It matches the Rfam family "Bacterial small subunit ribosomal RNA", at positions 28 to 475 of the family's 1533-position model. The record is from RNAcentral.